Long non-coding RNA from Alligator mississippiensis (American alligator), 4557 nucleotides. RefSeq lists it as uncharacterized. The transcript is spliced from 3 exons. The record is from RefSeq and is a predicted model, not a curated record. NCBI's taxonomy places the organism in Eukaryota, Metazoa, Chordata, Crocodylia, Alligatoridae.
AUGUGCACCUGGAUAGUUUUCUCAAAGAGCUUCCCCAGGACCAAGCUUCUUUGCACGGUGGAGUUUUUUGCUGCAGAAGAGAACCCUGGUGCAAUGGAGAAUUUCCCACCAAUUUGAAGCUUUCUUUGCAUGGUGCAUUUCUUUUGCAUCUAAGAAAUGCAUGGUGCAAGGAGUUCCCGCCAUUUGUAUGAAGAUCCGUGCCACAUUAUUGGCCGAUUCUAAUAUAUGUACACGUGAUGGCUAGCGAUUGGCUUGCUAGCUGUAUAAAGAGCUUGGGUGGUUUCCGCCCAAGGUGGAGAGAAAUCAGUUGGAGAGAGAGCGAGAGGGAGAGCAUGAAGAUCUCUAAGCGCUGCGGAGCCUCACGGACCCAACGCAUUUCUUAAAAGGCAAUAGAGGCCUGACCGAACCCAUGGAGCUUCAACAACUCCGUGGGAAAGAAACUACCGAACCCACGGAGCUUCAACAACUCCGUGGGAAAGAACGAAUAACAGCCUCUAGCCUCUCCCCAUCGCCGAUAAAUUCCUAGACGUAUCCCUUCCUGUACGAGAAACUACCGAACCCACGGAGCUUCAACAACUCCGUGGGAAAGAACGAACUUGUCGUAUGGACCCACGGAGCUUUAACAACUCUGGGGGAAAGAACGAACUUGUAGUACAGGCCCACGGAGCUUUAACAACUUCGGGGAAAAGAACGAACUUGUCGUAGUCCUCUAACGAGGAUUUAAGCGGAGCUGAACCUGGAAACUGUCCAGCCUACACCACGACCAUCUUUAGUUUUAAAGCCUGUCGGAGGAAAUCAGCCAACCUGGAAGAGAACACACGCUUACGUUUGUGGGAGAGGUGAAGCCCAUCCCACCUGAGUAUGUCUCUCAUUCUGAAGUGAGGGUCGUGGUCCAGAAAGCCGAAGCCCGCCACAAGACACCAUUCCUGAAGCCUCAAGUUGACGUCCCAGAUGCAUGGCAUCUUCCACGCCCGCUCACUGGAAGGAUCGAUGAGAAGACAACCUGUGCCCCUAUCUCCUUCAGCUUUUCCCCCAGCACUUGGUAGUCCUCCAUCAGGUGAUCUGGACUGCUCCUGGCUGCAUCAUUAUUGCCAACAUGUAUUAGGACCAUGGGGUGGUAAUCAGUGGGCCGAAUGAGGGCCGGGAUCAUCUCCGUCACGUUCUGAAUCCGCGCUCCGGGGAGACAGUAGACCUCACUUGUCAUAGGAUCCUGGCAACAGAUGGGACCCUCUGUUCCUCUCAGGAUGGAGUCAGCUAUGACAAGUACCUGGCGUCUCUUCCUCCAGGUCAACUUGCCUCCUCCAGCCCAUUCUGUCAUGGAGUGACCUCCUCACCAGAGGUUUCCUCCUCACGCUCCUUUUCCUCCAAUGUCACCAGGGUCUCAUACCUGUUCCCCAGCUGGACUGAGGGAGCUGGUACUGCACCACCGUGAGCAAUCCUGGCUCUGGAGGGAACCGUCUGCCAUUCCACUGUGGAGGGCAUCUCCUGGGGCUCUUCUUCCUUUGGUGCUUGGCCCUGCAAGGAAAGGAAAUACCCGUCAACUUCAUCCUCUGCUUCUCUGAUCCCCCUCAGCCUGCUAACCUCCUCCUGGAGCUCCCUCACCUGCCCCUCCAGGGCCCUAAGACAGACACCUGUGGGACAGGUGUGGCGGCCCCCAUUCCCUGCCCUUUCCCCCGGCCCCUCCAGACAUCCCCCUGCUUAGACUGAGCAGAAUUUUCUCAGAAGCUCUGGUCCAUUGCAGGCUGUGCUGGACCUAGGCACCCAGGUUGAGAGCAAGGAGACUCUCUCUUGUGCUUUCUGAGAUGCCCCAAUAGGCCCUAGCAAUAUGUAGGAAGAGGCUGCAUGAUUCAAAUAUAGUGAUGGCAGAAGAAAUAAAAAGACCUGAAGUAAAGUUGUGAAGAAUAGCCUGCAACCAUUCUUGCCCACCAAGGCAAAAAAAGGGACUAGAACUAAGGUGAAUCUAAGAUUGAACAAGGAGCUGGGAGAAAAACGGUACUGAUUGGACAAGAAUACUGGGAACUAGUGGGAUAAAUAGGAGAGAAGACAUAUGACAAGGGGUGAGGGAAUAAGUGAGAUAAGGUAUUGUCUGAGCAAAGAGAUUGGGCCAUCAUGCUUGGAAAAAGGCACACAGAUUGUCAAAGAAGGCCACAGAGGAAAAGUAGUACUGGGAGGUAGUUAAAAUGGAGAAAAAGUGAGAGCAGAUAACUGGAGACCAGGGUUGAGGAAGGAGAGAGAUUAGACAAGAAGCCAGAUCAUGAUCUGGGAAUGACUGGGCAAGGACUGUAAGAUUAAGAGUGGGAGGGAGGCUAUUCCAUUGGUGUGAACAAAAUCCACUGGCAUACUGCCCCACCCCCUGCCAAAGGCUAGUUCACAUGGUUUUUCAGGUUGAUUUUCUUUUAAAAAUGAAGCACUGUUCCUCUCUGCUGCAGGAGCCCUUGAUCCAUAUCCUGGCCUUGCGACAGGGAGUACCAAGCCUUGCCCCCAGAAGCCUCAUCACUUCUCUGAUCCAGUUACACACCAUCAAGUUCAUCCACCUACUUGACCCCUCCCCCCCCCCAUCACUGCCUAUUUCAUUGGCUGUGAACAGCGAUGAGAGUGGCAAGCCUGCUACCUUGCUGCCCCUCCCUAUGCACAACAAAAAUAGUGGUGGGAUCUGCUGAGAUCCUGUUUGGGAAGGCACUGUAAAUGUGGAUAGUUAAAGUGUGUCAUGCCGAAGUCCUCACCAGUCAUCCUGACAACUUGAGGCAGCACCUAGUGGCAGCAACACCAGAACAAGUCUACCCUGUACAAGCUACCCAUCACUAAGAGAACUGGUGACCUCCAGUAGCAACUUCUGCAUGUGGCCUUGGCCAUGGACAUGUUUAUCCACCACCUAGACCUGGUGGCAUCAGCAGCCUGCCCUUUCUGUGAAGAGAAGGUGGAAGUGGAGGAGAUACUCUUCCAUGACUUCCAGGACUGUCCCUGGCUGCAGCCACUCUGCUGUUCUUGGUACCCUCUUUCACAUGCUGGACUUGAACUUCUCUAAAACUACAUACAUUUUUUUUCUGUCCUGUACCAAGCAGCCAAAGGGAGUAUGAUCUGCCUGGCCAAUUUUGUGCUGUGCCAGGCCAAAAGGAGACUCUAAAAAGCCACCAAAAUCAGCUCUGACAAGACCCUCCAACUCUUCUGCUGCUGGGUCCAGACACAUGUUACAUUUGAAUUUGAAUGCUUCACUAUGCAGUAAAAUAUGGACCAAUUUGUGAUACCCUGGGCUAUCAAGGGAGGGAUCGCUCUGCAAAGUGGAAAUGGACAGCUGGUUCUAAAUGUAACCGCAAAAAAGUCAUUGCAGGUUAGGGGUUUCAAUUUCUGGUGGCAUGAGUGUUUUGGAAACUGUUUUUUGAAACUGUGAAGUCAAGCAGUCAAAAGGUAGCACAUACCGGAAUUAAUCUGACCCCCUCAUGUCCAGGCACUAUAAUAUAGUCCUUAAUUACAUGAUCACACUGUUUUUCUAUAUGACUGCUGCAUCAUUCACUGCACAGAAGGGACCUGCUCUGGUGAUGUAUUGGUGUUUUGUAGUGAAGGAAGCUGUUGUCAGUAGGACUUCUGGUUCAUUUGUUGCGUAAGUUCAGUGUGUAGCAAAUGAAACAAGGAGUUGAGGAAAGGAAAGGAGAGUCUUGUGAAAGAAUGAAUGCUGCCCUUGAGAACUGGAUGCUAUCCCUGCCUCUGGCACAAAGUUUCUGCGAAUAAUACCACAGUUCCUGCAAGCCCCCUGAUCCAAACCUGUCAGAAGUCAUCACUAAUUGUAUAGUCCUCACUUUUUGGUACCCAACUCGAGACCCUGGGAUUCAAUUUGUAGAAGUUCUGAGCACUGACAGAUGCAACUUAAGUAAACCAGAUUUGUGAAUGGAGCACAUGCAGUGCUAUAUAAGACAAAUCAUUCUAAAGUAUCAGAUCUUAAAUAUUUCAAAUUAGCCACCCAAAAUUAGUAGAUACAUUUUACUUUAAUCUCGCAUUGCCUGCAUAAUAAUUGGGAUAAUACCCCCCACACAUUUUACAGGAGUGUUGUGAAGAUAAAUUUAUUUUUGUGAAACACAGAAACAGUUGUACAUUAUAGUGAAGAGCACCACCGAGAAACCUGCAUAAUAAUUCUGUCCUCCAAACAAGUCUUGAAGAGUAUGCAGUAAAUUAAAGCACAGAGCUGCACACUGUGCAACAAGGUGAAAACAAAGUAUUAAAUAGCUGCUCUUUGACUAAGGUGGGCACAACCUGUGCAAUGAAUAGAGCAGGUUCCUAUAGAAAAAAGACAUUGUGUGAUCAUAUGAUUAAAGACUAUCAUAAUGCAGGUGCAUAGUGGGGAACAGAUAGAGGCAAAUUAACAAGAAACAUUAAGUCUCUCAUCUCUUAACUUUUGAGUGUUUACCUCACCACAUUAAUGACAUGCAUUCAACUUAAGUAUAUUUUAGUAAUAUUUAGCAUUAUUGAAACAAGACUGUACAGAGCGACAUGGGCAUGAUGGUCGAUACAAAAAAAUUGUUAUCUGUAAUUUAUCUAUGAAUAAAAUUCAGAAGCUUCAAUGAA